GUCUAUGGCCAUACCACCCUGAGCAUACACCCUGAGCACAUCUCGGAAGCUAAGCAGGGUCGGGCCUGGUUAGUACUUGGAUGGCAGAUAGUAGGAAGGGAAAAGAAGGACUGGAAGAGU
This 120-nucleotide ribosomal RNA is filed under the name Dasypus novemcinctus (nine-banded armadillo). The record is from RNAcentral. Lineage: Eukaryota; Metazoa; Chordata; Mammalia; Cingulata; Dasypodidae.